Molecule: transfer RNA, 74 nt
Filed under: Loxodonta africana (African savanna elephant)
Lineage: Eukaryota; Metazoa; Chordata; Mammalia; Proboscidea; Elephantidae
Rfam family: tRNA
About the family: Transfer RNA (tRNA) molecules are approximately 80 nucleotides in length. Their secondary structure includes four short double-helical elements and three loops (D, anti-codon, and T loops).
Source: Rfam by way of RNAcentral
CCCUCGGUGGUGUAAUCGUGUAAUGCGUUUGGCUGCUAACCAAAUGGUCGGAGGUUCAAGUCUACCCGGAGGCA